UCAAUGUUGGAUUGGUAUCCGUGGCUUCCUCUCGGCGUCGCCCUCAUAUCUCUGGCUUUCGUUCUUGGAGAAGAGCCGAGCGACCUCAACCUAGGAAGAGAACCCGUAACUUAAUCCUCGAGCUGCUUGAAGACGUUGUACCGGCAUCGUCCUUCAUUUUGUCAUCGUCAUUGUUUAUCUGAUAUGGUUCUUUCAUUUGGAGGUAGAGGAGGGAGAAUAGAGGGUUGUAUAUCUAAUCGAUUCUCUGCUUCAUACGGUUGCCGAAGUGUUCCAUACUUCUCUACGUCAUAGAACUCCCUUGGUGGCUGGCCUUUCCAAAGAUUUGUUGUCUGACAUGAUGUAUGAUGUUGGUUUGGAAGGUUUAUGGUUUAAGGGGAGAGAGAGAGGCAGAAGAAGUAUUUAAGGGGGAGAUCAAAAGCCCAACGGCAUGUUCCCUUACCAACUUAUCAAAACGUCGACAUGCUGCGCACACCACAAAGUAAUGCAGAGAGAGGCAGAAGAGAUGAAGAGAUGGAAUAAGAGGGACCAAGGAGGAGAGAGUAAAUGACAAAUGAAAAGAAAGAUGAAAAAGGCUAAAACUCAUUUUCUCAACCACACACGAGCAUGUUUGACCGAUCGGAAAGCGCUUGCGACCAAGCUGCUCUCUCUCGAAACGUAUCUGAUCUCCAUGUUCGACGGUUAGGCUUUCUAUGCUCUCAUUUUCUUUGAUUGGUUGAUUGCUUGUAGUGUGAAAUUUAUGGGUUUAUUUAG
Fragaria vesca subsp. vesca is the source of this 750-nucleotide RNA transcript. RefSeq lists it as uncharacterized. The transcript has 3 exons. The record is from RefSeq and is a predicted model, not a curated record. NCBI's taxonomy places the organism in Eukaryota, Viridiplantae, Streptophyta, Magnoliopsida, Rosales, Rosaceae.